RNAcentral lists this ribosomal RNA (342 nucleotides) under Pyza taurica. RNAcentral describes it as "partial large subunit ribosomal RNA". The record is from RNAcentral. Lineage: Eukaryota; Metazoa; Arthropoda; Arachnida; Opiliones; Nemastomatidae.
GUGCAAAGGUAGCAUAAUCAUUUGUUUCUUAAUUAGGAACUGGAAUGAAGGGUUUAAUAAAGAGUAAUUUUAUUAAGAAAGAAAAUUGAAAUUAAUUUUAGAAUAAAAAAGUUCUAAUGCCCCUGUAGGACGAUAAGACCCUAUUAAACUUUAUAUUAWCUUAGGUACUUUAACAAAAGUUCUAGAAGAAAAUAUUUUACUGGGGUGGUAAAUGAAUAAAGGAGGAGAAGAAAAUUAAGAUCCAUAUUAAUGAUAAACAGAAAAAGUUACUAUAGGGAUAACAGCAUAAUUUUUUUUAAGAGUUCUUAUCAAUGAAGAAGAUUAUGACCUCGAUGUUGAAUU